Molecule: long non-coding RNA, 619 nt
Organism: Fukomys damarensis (Damara mole-rat)
Lineage: Eukaryota; Metazoa; Chordata; Mammalia; Rodentia; Bathyergidae
Exons: 3
Source: RefSeq, a predicted model, not a curated record
UCAACUAGAGAUGUCACCGAAGAAGGACAUCAAUCAUUUCCAAGGCUUCUGGUCUGGCUCACAUGCAAUUAAACAAAAUCAGCUCAAGGAUAAAUUGAGGCAUCUGGGUUGAUGAUCAUGAAGCUAUAUUCAGCAUUUAGGCAGAAACAGAGCCAAGUUCCCUUGGAGCUUACAGAAGUUUCUGCCCAGAAGUAAUCCACAAAGAAGCAGCUCAAGGGUCUGCUGAACUAAGUUCAAAACUCUUCAGAAGGACCAAGCUCGCUGGGCCUAGCUGUUGGUAUAUUAUGGAAAUAUACAAGUGCACAGAUUUUUCAGUAGACUUGCAAAGUUUGUUGGGUUGCAAAGCUUGGGCCUGGCCUAUAGUUUUGACCAGAUAGUAUCAUUGCUCCGGAAGGUUUGACUUCACAUGAGCAGUUCCGAGAAGCCAUAACCAAUGAUGUUCACACCUUGGCUCAGACAGUGAAUCAUUUGCAAGCUUGACUGCUUUAACUACUACUGGUGUUACUCUGAAACUACUGACAGCCCAGCCACGGUUGACAGCUCAACUCACACAGCACAGCAGGGACACAUGCCAUUAAGACGACUGACAUCUUCAGAGCGCAACCAAUAAAAACUUCCU